This 1775-nucleotide long non-coding RNA is filed under the name Citrus x clementina. RNAcentral describes it as "Citrus clementina (C. clementina) long non-coding RNA (CCLE_LNC005973)". The record is from RNAcentral. Lineage: Eukaryota; Viridiplantae; Streptophyta; Magnoliopsida; Sapindales; Rutaceae.
CCCGAAGGCCGGGGCGCCAAGUUCGUCCAGCGGAAAAAGGCCACAAAAACGGGUGGGCUAUAGCCUUGGGGGGUGGGGCUGGCCAACUUCGUCCGCCGGACUCGGAAUGGCGCGAGACUUUGCGAGGGGCCUCCGCGUGCCAAAAAUAGGCCGCGGGCUAAGCGUCGCCCAAAAAUAACCGCCCGAAGGCCGGGGCGCCAAGUUCGUCCAGCGGUAAAAGUCCACAAAAACGGGUGGGCUAUAGCCUUGGGGGUUGGGGCUGGUCAACUUCGUCCGCCGGACUCGGAAUGCCGCGAGACUUUUCGAGGGGCCUCCAUGUGCCAAAAAUAGACCGCGGACAAAGCCACGCCCAAAAAUAACCGCCCGAAGGCCGGGGCGCCAAGUUCGUCCAGCGGAAAAAGGCCACAAAAACGGGUGGGCUAUAGCCUUGAGGGGUGGGGCUGGCCAACUACAUCCGCCGGAUUCGGAAUGGCACGAGACUUUGCGAGGUGACUCCGUGUGCAAAAAAUAGGCCGCGGGCAAAGCCUCGCCCAAAAAAUAACCGCCCGAAGGCCGGGGCGCCGAGUUCGUCCAGCGGAAAAAGGCCACAAAAACGGGUGGGCUAUAGCCUUGGGGGGUGGGGCUGGCCAACUUUGUCCGCUGGACUCGGAAUGGCGUGAGACUUUGUGAGGGGCCUCCGUGUGCCAAAAAUAGGCUGUGGGCAAAGCCGCGCCCAAAAAUAACUGCCCGAAGGCCGGGGCGCCAAGUUCGUCCACCGGAAAAAGGCCACAAAAAUGGGUGGGCUAUAGCCUUGGGGGGUGGGGCUGGCCAACUUCAUCCGCCGGACUCGGAAUGCCGCGAGACUUUGCGAGGGGCCUCCGUGUGCCAAAAAUAGGCCGCCGGCAAAGCCGCACCCAAAAAUAACCGCCCGAAGGCCGGGGCGCCGAGUUCGUCCAGCGGAAAAAGGCCACAAAAACGGGUGGGCUAUAACCUUGGGGGGUGGGGCUGGCUAACUUCGUCCGCCGGACUCGGAAUGCCGCGAGACUUUACGAGGGGCCUCCAUGUGCCAAAAAUAGGCCGCGGACAAAGCCACGCCAAAAAAUAACCGCCCGAAGGCCGGGGCGGCAAGUUCGUCCAGCGGAAAAAGGCCACAAAAACGGCUGGGCUAUAGCCUUGAGGGGUGGGGCUGGCCAACUUCAUCCGCCGGAUUCGGAAUGGCACGAGACUUUGCGAGGUGACUCCGUGUGGAAAAAAUAGGCCGCGGACGAAGCCUCACCCAAAAAUAACCACCCGAAGGCCGGGGCGCCAAGUUCGUCCAGCGGAAAAAGGCCACAAAAACGGGUGGGCUAUAGCCUUGGGGAGUGGGACUGGCCCACUUCGUCCGCCGGACUCGAAAUGCCGUGAGACAUUGCGAGGGGCCUCCGUGUGCCAAAAAUAGGCUGCGGGCAAAGCCGCGCCCAAAAAUAACUGCCCGAAGGUCGGGGCGCCAAGUUCGUCCAGCGGAAAAAGGCCACAAAAACGGGUGGGCUAUAGCCUUGGGGGGUGGGGCUGGCCCACUUCGUCCGCCGGGCUCGGAAUGCCGCGAGACUUUGCAAUGGGCCUCCAUGUGCCAAAAAUAGGCCGCGGGCAAAGCCGCGCCCAAAAAUAACUGCCCGAAGGCCGGGGCGCCAAGUUCGUCCAGCGGAAAAAGGCCACAAAAACGGGUGGGCUAUAGCCUUGGGGGGUGGGGCUGGUCAACUUCGUCCGCCGGACUCGGAAUGCCGCGAGACAUUGCGAGGGGCCUCCGUGUGCCAAAA